AGAGUUUGAUCCUGGCUCAGGAUGAACGCUAGCUACAGGCUUAACACAUGCAAGUCGAGGGGCAGCAUUUCAGUUUGCUUGCAAACUGGAGAUGGCGACCGGCGCACGGGUGAGUAACACGUAUCCAACCUGCCGAUAACUCGGGGAUAGCCUUUCGAAAGAAAGAUUAAUACCCGAUGGUAUAAUCAGACCGACAUGGUCUUGUUGUUAAAGAAUUUCGGUUAUCGAUGGGGAUGCGUUCCAUUAGGCAGUUGGUGAGGUAACGGCUCACCAAACCUUCGAUGGAUAGGGGUUCUGAGAGGAAGGUCCCCCACAUUGGAAGUGAGACACGGUCCAAACUCCUACGGGAGGCAGCAGUGAGGAAUAUUGGUCAAUGGGCGCAGGCCUGAACCAGCCAAGUAGCGUGAAGGAUGACUGCCCUAUGGGUUGUAAACUUCUUUUAUAUGGGAAUAAAGUUUUCCACGUGUGGAAUUUUGUAUGUACCAUAUGAAUAAGGAUCGGCUAACUCCGUGCCAGCAGCCGCGGUAAUACGGAGGAUCCGAGCGUUAUCCGGAUUUAUUGGGUUUAAAGGGAGCGUAGGUGGACAGUUAAGUCAGUUGUGAAAGUUUGCGGCUCAACCGUAAAAUUGCAGUUGAUACUGGCUGUCUUGAGUACAGUAGAGGUGGGCGGAAUUCGUGGUGUAGCGGUGAAAUGCUUAGAUAUCACGAAGAACUCCGAUUGCGAAGGCAGCUCACUGGACUGCAACUGACACUGAUGCUCGAAAGUGUGGGUAUCAAACAGGAUUAGAUACCCUGGUAGUCCACACAGUAAACGAUGAAUACUCGCUGUUUGCGAUAUACAGUAAGCGGCCAAGCGAAAGCAUUAAGUAUUCCACCUGGGGAGUACGCCGGCAACGGUGAAACUCAAAGGAAUUGACGGGGGCCCGCACAAGCGGAGGAACAUGUGGUUUAAUUCGAUGAUACGCGAGGAACCUUACCCGGGCUUAAAUUGCAUUUGAAUAUAUUGGAAACAGUAUAGCCGUAAGGCAAAUGUGAAGGUGCUGCAUGGUUGUCGUCAGCUCGUGCCGUGAGGUGUCGGCUUAAGUGCCAUAACGAGCGCAACCCUUAUCUUUAGUUACUAACAGGUCAUGCUGAGGACUCUAGAGAGACUGCCGUCGUAAGAUGUGAGGAAGGUGGGGAUGACGUCAAAUCAGCACGGCCCUUACGUCCGGGGCCACACACGUGUUACAAUGGGGGGUACAGAAGGCAGCUACCUGGUGACAGGAUGCUAAUCCCAAAAGCCUCUCUCAGUUCGGAUCGAAGUCUGCAACCCGACUUCGUGAAGCUGGAUUCGCUAGUAAUCGCGCAUCAGCCAUGGCGCGGUGAAUACGUUCCCGGGCCUUGCACACACCGCCC
RNAcentral lists this ribosomal RNA (1394 nucleotides) under uncultured bacterium. RNAcentral describes it as "bacterial SSU rRNA". It matches the Rfam family "Bacterial small subunit ribosomal RNA". The record is from RNAcentral.